UACGGGGGGGGUAAGCGUUGUUCGGAAUUACUGGGCGUAAAGGGCUCGUAGGCGGCCAACUAAGUCAUACGUGAAAUCCCUCAGCUUAACUGGGGAACUGCGUGUGAUACUGGAUGGCUUGGAUUUGGGAGAGGGAUGCGGAAUUCCAGGUGUAGCGGUGAAAUGCGUAGAUAUCUGGAGGAAUACCGGUGGCGAAGGCGGCAUCCUGGACCGGCAUUGACGCUGAGGCGCGAAAGCGUGGGGAGCAAACAGG
This 253-nucleotide ribosomal RNA is filed under the name uncultured bacterium. RNAcentral describes it as "partial 16S ribosomal RNA". It matches the Rfam family "Bacterial small subunit ribosomal RNA", at positions 524 to 776 of the family's 1533-position model. The record is from RNAcentral.